GAUGAACGCUGGCGGCGUGCCUAAUACAUGCAAGUCGAGCGAACAGACGAGGAGCUUGCUCCUUUGACGUUAGCGGCGGACGGGUGAGUAACACGUAGGUAACCUACCUAUAAGACUGGGAUAACUUCGGGAAACCGGAGCUAAUACCGGAUAAUAUUUCGAACCGCAUGGUUCGAUAGUGAAAGAUGGCUUUGCUAUCACUUAUAGAUGGACCUGCGCCGUAUUAGCUAGUUGGUAAGGUAACGGCUUACCAAGGCAACGAUACGUAGCCGACCUGAGAGGGUGAUCGGCCACACUGGAACUGAGACACGGUCCAGACUCCUACGGGAGGCAGCAGUAGGGAAUCUUCCGCAAUGGGCGAAAGCCUGACGGAGCAACGCCGCGUGAGUGAUGAAGGUCUUCGGAUCGUAAAACUCUGUUAUUAGGGAAGAACAAACGUGUAAGUAACUGUGCACGUCUUGACGGUUCCUAAUCAGAAAGCCACGGCUAACUACGUG
Molecule: ribosomal RNA, 497 nt
Filed under: uncultured bacterium
Lineage: Bacteria
Description: partial 16S ribosomal RNA
Rfam family: Bacterial small subunit ribosomal RNA
Source: RNAcentral